Molecule: small RNA, 2457 nt
Filed under: Pongo abelii (Sumatran orangutan)
Lineage: Eukaryota; Metazoa; Chordata; Mammalia; Primates; Hominidae
Description: retained intron
Source: RNAcentral
AAACCUAUUACUUACUUUGCAAAGCUCUUUUACCUUGUGUUAUUUGAUUACAACAACUCAAGAGAGGUCCAGUAGGGUGGAUAAUGUCCUUAUUUUACAGAUGAGGACACUGAGAUACGGGAAGGUGAGUUACAGAACUCUCUGGCUACUGUUCUGCUCAUCUCCCAGCCCCAUGAAUUUUCAUCUCUCUCCUCCCCCAGUUUAUUUAUGGAGAUUCUUAGUUCCUGUUCAGAUUGUGAUGAGAUCCAAUUCAUGGAAGAUGGAUCCUGGUGCCCAAUGAAACCCAAGAAGGAGGCAUCUGAGGUUUGCCCCCCGCCAGGGUAUGGGCUGGAUGGUGAGUGACCCCCUGUUCCCCAGCUAAGCUAAAUCUUGGAUGGCCUCUUCUCUGAGACAUAGUCUUCUUAAUACCCGCAGGCCUCCAGUACAGCCCAGUCCAGGAGGGAAAUCCAUCAGAGAAUAAGAAGAAGGUCGAAGUUAUUGACUUGACAAUAGAAAGCUCAUCAGAUGAGGAGGAUCUGCCCCCUACCAAGAAGCACUGUUCUGUCACCUCAGCUGCCAUCCCGGCCCUACCUGGAAGCAAAGGAGUCCUGACGUCUGGCCACCAGCCAUCCUCGGUGCUCAGGAGCCCUGCUAUGGGCACGUUGGGUGGGGAUUUCCUGUCCAGUCUCCCACUACAUGAGUACCCACCUGCCUUCCCACUGGGAGCCGACAUCCAAGGUUUAGAUUUAUUUUCAUUUCUUCAGACAGAGAGUCAGGUAAGUGGUUCUUUCUUCAGAAGGUCUCAGAUCUCUGAAGCUUCCUUUCUAGGCACUGAUGGGGCCCCUCCCUCUCUUAUGAUCUCUGGGGAUGUAAAUCUGCUUUCCCGUGAGGACAGUGAGGUGUAGGUAGCUUAUUACCUCCUCAGCCCCACUGGUAGUUCCUGAGAUUCCUACUUAGGCCUGCUUCCUAGAUCCCCUGUUAAUUUUCUGCCCUGGCCUACUCACCCCCACCCCCGUGUGCACUUAGAGCACCAUGCCUGCUCUAACCGGACAUUCCACACAUUUCAGACGCCCACAAAGCCAAGAACCUAACAAGUUGGAGGAGCUCUCUCAAGGCAGGGAAAGGGGAAGGGUGUGGGGAAGUAGGGGAAAGAGGGAGAGGCUCUCCUGCUUCUCAAGAGAAUACCUUGGGAUCCACAGGGGUUGAUUGCUCUCAUACGGCAUUUCUGAGAUGAGUGACUAGGAGGUGGGGAAGUCAGGAUGAGAUCUUAAACUAUGCCCUUGAUUCUUCCUAGCACUAUGGCCCCUCCGUCAUCACCUCACUAGAUGAACAGGAUGCCCUUGGCCACUUUUUCCAGUACCGAGGGACCCCUUCUCACUUUCUGGGCCCACUGGCCCCCACGUUGGGGAGUUCCCACCGCAGCGCCACUCCGGCACCCCCUCCUGGCCGUGUCAGCAGCAUUGUGGCCCCUGGGGGGGCCUUGAGGGAGGGGCAUGGAGGACCCCUGCCCUCAGGUCCCUCUUUGACUGGCUGUCGGUCAGACAUCAUUUCCCUGGACUGAGUUCCUCGGAUUAUGGCAACUUCGCUGUCCCCAACACUGAGGAGGUAUGCUGUGGAGUCCUAACCCCAGCUACUCUGAUCCCUCUGGGGGUUCUGGCCAAGGGCCAGACAGACGUUCACAGAUGCCUACUUUUGGCCUCAUCUCUGCCUGACAAGGCCAGCACCCAAAGGGUUAAUAUUGAACCUGUUUUUAAGGACACUGGGGUCUGUUUUUGGAAAUGUUCUUUAGAUGGUGGCACAUUCCUUUGGGUAUGUUAACCUAGGCAGUGGGAGGCAAAUGGGAUGGGAUGUGAGCUGGAAGAAGGGCUGAACCCUCAGCCUUGACUAUGUCUAGAGCCUCUUGGGGAAGGGGCACCUCUCUUGAACCCCAAAUGCUCUCUUGUUAUCCCCCAAAUCCAUGGCUCUAUUUCUUCUUCACAUCCAUUGUCUCUUCAUGUCCAUUCCAUUCCCUUCGGCCAAACAGACAGGUGGAAAAACUGAGACAGGCAGUUUCAGAGAUGGACAGAGAACUUUAUUUUGGAUUGUGGAUGUGGACUUUUUUGUACAUAAAUAAGAAAAACCAAAAUACUCCAAAGAUGACUUCCCCUGCCUCCUACUCCAGUAUGACAGAGGAGGAUGUAAGGCCUUAGCCAUGAUCCCCAGGGGUUUGGGAGUCACGCCCGGCCUAUUGCUUGGGUCUCUAUUUAUAUAUUUAAGUUCACAGUGUUUCUUAUUCCACCCUAAGCUUCUAGAGGCUCAUGGCCCUGUGGUUAGGCCUGGCUCAUUCUGCACCUUUCCAGGGAGGUGGAAGGACCCUGUGCCCUCCUUCCCAAUCUUCUUUUUCAGGCUCGCCAAGGCCUAGGACCUAUGUUGUAAUUUUACUUUUUAUUUCUAAAGUUGUAGUGAAGCUCUCACCCAUAAUAAAGAUUGUGAAUGUUC